GACGAAUGCUGGCGGCGUGCUUAACACAUGCAAGUCGAACGAUGAAGCCUAGCUUGCUAGGUGGAUUAGUGGCGAACGGGUGAGUAAUACGUGAGUAACCUACCUUUAACUCCGGGAUAAGCCUGGGAAACUGGGUCUAAUACCGGAUACGACCAAUCUCCGCAUGGGGUGUUGGUGGAAAGCGUUAUGUAGUGGUUAUAGAUGGGCUCACGGCCUAUCAGCUUGUUGGUGAGGUAACGGCUCACCAAGGCGACGACGGGUAGCCGGCCUGAGAGGGUGACCGGCCACACUGGGACUGAGACACGGCCCAGACUCCUACGGGAGGCAGCAGUGGGGAAUAUUGCACAAUGGGCGCAAGCCUGAUGCAGCGACGCCGCGUGAGGGAUGACGGCCUUCGGGUUGUAAACCUCUGUUAGCAGGGAAGAAGAGAGAUUGACGGUACCUGCAGAGAAAGCGCCGGCUAACUACGUGCCAGCAGCCGCGGUAAUACGUAGGGCGCGAGCGUUGUCCGGAAUUAUUGGGCGUAAAGAGCUUGUAGGCGGUUUGUCGCGUCUGCUGUGAAGGCCGGGGCUUAACUCCGUGUAUUGCAGUGGGUACGGGCAGACUAGAGUGCAGUAGGGGAGACUGGAAUUCCUGGUGUAGCGGUGGAAUGCGCAGAUAUCAGGAGGAACACCGAUGGCGAAGGCAGGUCUCUGGGCUGUAACUGACGCUGAGAAGCGAAAGCAUGGGGAGCGAACAGGAUUAGAUACCCUGGUAGUCCAUGCCGUAAACGUUGGGCACUAGGUGUGGGGGACAUUCCACGUUUUCCGCGCCGUAGCUAACGCAUUAAGUGCCCCGCCUGGGGAGUACGGCCGCAAGGCUAAAACUCAAAGAAAUUGACGGGGGCCCGCACAAGCGGCGGAGCAUGCGGAUUAAUUCGAUGCAACGCGAAGAACCUUACCAAGGCUUGACAUAUACUGGACCGCAUCAGAGAUGGUGUUUCCCUUCGGGGCUGGUAUACAGGUGGUGCAUGGUUGUCGUCAGCUCGUGUCGUGAGAUGUUGGGUUAAGUCCCGCAACGAGCGCAACCCUCGUUCUAUGUUGCCAGCACGUUAUGGUGGGGACUCAUAGGAGACUGCCGGGGUCAACUCGGAGGAAGGUGGGGAUGACGUCAAAUCAUCAUGCCCCUUAUGUCUUGGGCUUCACGCAUGCUACAAUGGCCGGUACAGAGGGUUGCGAUACUGUGAGGUGGAGCUAAUCCCUAAAAGCCGGUCUCAGUUCGGAUUGGGGUCUGCAACUCGACCCCAUGAAGUCGGAGUCGCUAGUAAUCGCAGAUCAGCAACGCUGCGGUGAAUACGUUCCCGGGCCU
Molecule: ribosomal RNA, 1347 nt
Filed under: uncultured bacterium
Lineage: Bacteria
Description: bacterial SSU rRNA
Rfam family: Bacterial small subunit ribosomal RNA
Source: RNAcentral